This is a long non-coding RNA of Suricata suricatta (meerkat), 1417 nucleotides long. RefSeq lists it as uncharacterized. The transcript is spliced from 4 exons. Lineage: Eukaryota; Metazoa; Chordata; Mammalia; Carnivora; Herpestidae. The record is from RefSeq and is a predicted model, not a curated record.
GGCUUAACCGACUGAGCCACCCAGGCGCCCCUGCUGAGUCUUUUUAAUAAAAGGGUUCGGUGCUGUUAUUUUGCCUGCAUCUUGGAGAGGUGUUCCGCUGGUCCUUGUGUCACCUGUCUGCCUACAGACGGAUGUGGCUCUUCGCAGCCGUGAGGCUCUGCAGGGCAGCGCAAGGUAAAAACACACCCAAUCCUCCUGUGUGGAGUCUGGGAAACAAAAUUUCUGGGUUGGAAACAUUUGGCCACUGUUGUUUGGCCUGCAUCCGUUCGUUUGCGUGAAUUAUUUAAACAUGUAAUUUGCUUGGAGGAGUGGGAGCGGCUCUUUCUGCUUUCCAUAUUUUUGUUUUCAAAGUGGAAAAAGACUGAAUACUUAGAAACUGUUUCCAUAGAUGAUACCAGACAGAAGAAAAAAUUCUUUCUAAAUUAAGAUGUUUUUUGCCUAUCAAAUCGAAUAACUUUUAAAUAUCAUUUAAACGUAAUUCCCUAGGUUUGUAAAGACCGGGAAAGGCUUGGGGAGUAUGAAUUCAUAUACCCUUUAUAGAAGGUAAUCUGGCAGUAAGCCUUUCGAUUGGUUGUGCUCCUUUUUAUGGGAAACGUUGGAAAAUAAUGAAAUAUUGAGGUUCCCUAGGUUCACAGUCUGUUACGUAAACCAGGCAUGUGCUGUCCGCUUAUCUGCUGAAUUUCCUGAUUGCGCUGGACCCGACGGCUCUGCUCCAUAGGAAACCGCGCCUCCCUUUGUCGCUGGCCUUUUAUCACCUUCCACGCGCUGUUGUCUUAUUUGUCAGCCUUACAGGUGGGGGCCGGGGACGUUUCACACCCUCUACAGCACAGGCUUCACCAGCUGACUGGGGGAAUCUAAAUGGGAUUCUGUAGAAGCAUCAAAGAAUCGUCGACUUUCCACCAAAUUACUUCUUCCAUAGGCUAAAGAGAAAUAUCACCUAAGAAGUUAAAACUAGCUUUGAUUCCUUUUCUACCCUCCAUUCUAAAAGCAGCAGUUUCUUCAGAUCUCUGCUCUGCCAAAUCUCAAGGAACUUCCAGAAAACCCCAGUCCCAACAAGAGUGGUGACCCAAGAUGAAGAAGAGCUUCUGAACACACCUGCUUCCUUAAGAUGCUCUCUGCAGAGUUCUGAGGAAGUCUUAAUUGUGACGUGGCAGAAAAUGAAGGCUGUGAGCCUGGGAAACGUGGUCACCUUCAGCAAGAAGCAGGGGGUGGUAGUCCAGCCUGCCUACAGGACAAGAUAAACGUCACCCAGCUGGAACUCAGGAACUCAACCAUGACGUUCUGGAAUACCACGCUAGAGGAUGAAGGGUGUUACAAGCUCUUCAAUACUUUUGGUUCUGGGAAGAUCUCAGGAAAAGCCUGCCUCACCUUCUCUGGGGGAUGGGACAGAAAGAGAGAGAGAGAAACUCAAGCAGGC